GGUGAGAUGGGUGAGCGGUUUAAACCACCAGUUUGCUAAACUGACGUACGGGAAACUGUACCGAGGGUUCGAAUCCCUCUCUCACCG
Molecule: transfer RNA, 87 nt
Filed under: Bacteroidota bacterium
Lineage: Bacteria; Pseudomonadati; Bacteroidota
Also listed under: 1 other name
Description: Bacteroidetes bacterium (activated sludge metagenome) tRNA-Ser
Rfam family: tRNA
About the family: Transfer RNA (tRNA) molecules are approximately 80 nucleotides in length.
Source: RNAcentral